RNAcentral lists this transfer RNA (64 nucleotides) under Prosthiostomum siphunculus. RNAcentral's name for it is "tRNA-Val". The record is from RNAcentral. Lineage: Eukaryota; Metazoa; Platyhelminthes; Polycladida; Prosthiostomidae.
UAGUCUGAAGUUCUACGUAACAAUUCAUUUACACUGAAUAAGUGAAUAAAAUAUUCCAGAUUAA